GAUGAACGCUGGCGGCGUGCCUAAUACAUGCAAGUCGAGCGAACAGACGAGGAGCUUGCUCCUUUGUCGUUAGCGGCGGACGGGUGAGUAACACGUGGAUAACCUACCUAUAAGACUGGGAUAACUUCGGGAAACCGGAGCUAAUACCGUAUAAUAUACUGAACCGCAUGGUUCAUUAGUGAAAUACGGUUUUGCUGUCACUUAUAGAUGGAUCCGCGCUGGAUUAGCUAGUUGGUAAGGUAACGGCUUACCAAGGCAACGAUGCGUAGCCGACCUGAGAGGGUGGUCGGCCACACUGGAGCUGAAACACGGUCCAGAGUCCUACGGGAGGCAGCAGUAGCGAAUCGUACGCAAUGGGGGGAAGCCUGACGGAGCGGCGCCGCGUGAGUGAUGAAGGUCUUCGGAUCGUAAAACUCUGUUAUUGGGGAAGAACAGAUGUGUAAGGAACUAUGCACGUCGUGACGGUACCUGGUCAGAAAGCCACGGCUAACUACGUG
Molecule: ribosomal RNA, 497 nt
Filed under: uncultured bacterium
Lineage: Bacteria
Description: partial 16S ribosomal RNA
Rfam family: Bacterial small subunit ribosomal RNA
Source: RNAcentral